AUUGAACGCUGGCGGCAUGCUUUACACAUGCAAGUCGAACGGUAACAGGCCUUCGGGUGCUGACGAGUGGCGAACGGGUGAGUAAUGCAUCGGAACGUACCCAGAGGUGGGGGAUAACGCAGCGAAAGCUGUGCUAAUACCGCAUGUGAUCUGAGGAUGAAAGCGGGGGACCGAGCAGCAAUGUUUGGCCUCGCGCCUUUGGAGCGGCCGAUGUCGGAUUAGCUAGUUGGUGGGGUAAAGGCCUACCAAGGCGACGAUCCGUAGCUGGUCUGAGAGGACGACCAGCCACACUGGGACUGAGACACGGCCCAGACUCCUACGGGAGGCAGCAGUGGGGAAUUUUGGACAAUGGGCGCAAGCCUGAUCCAGCAAUGCCGCGUGCGGGAAGCAGGCCUUCGGGUUGUAAACCGCUUUUGGCAGGAACGAAACGGUGUCCGCUAAUACCGGGCGCUAAUGACGGUACCUGCAGAAUAAGCACCGGCUAACUACGUG
This 492-nucleotide ribosomal RNA is filed under the name uncultured bacterium. RNAcentral describes it as "partial 16S ribosomal RNA". It matches the Rfam family "Bacterial small subunit ribosomal RNA", at positions 29 to 507 of the family's 1533-position model. The record is from RNAcentral.